RNAcentral lists this ribosomal RNA (229 nucleotides) under uncultured eukaryote. Its description in RNAcentral is "partial 18S ribosomal RNA". It matches the Rfam family "Eukaryotic small subunit ribosomal RNA", at positions 1208 to 1456 of the family's 1831-position model. The record is from RNAcentral.
GGGAAACUCACCCGGCCCGGACACCGUAAGGAUUGACAGAUUGAGAGCUCUUUCUUGAUUCGGUGGGUGGUGGUGCAUGGCCGUUCUUAGUUGGUGGAGCGAUUUGUCUGGUUAAUUCCGAUAACGAACGAGACUCUAGCCUAUUAAAUAGUUCGCCGGUUCGGUAUUCGCCGGCGUCUAACUUCUUAGAGGGACAAGUGGCGUUCAGCCACGCGAGAAUGAGCAAUAA